RNAcentral lists this transfer RNA (72 nucleotides) under Camelus bactrianus (Bactrian camel). It matches the Rfam family "tRNA". From Rfam's summary of the family: Transfer RNA (tRNA) molecules are approximately 80 nucleotides in length. Their secondary structure includes four short double-helical elements and three loops (D, anti-codon, and T loops). Further hydrogen bonds mediate the characteristic L-shaped molecular structure. tRNAs have two regions of fundamental functional importance: the anti-codon, which is responsible for specific mRNA codon recognition, and the 3' end, to which the tRNAs corresponding amino acid is attached (by aminoacyl-tRNA synthetases). tRNAs cope with the degeneracy of the genetic code in two manners: having more than one tRNA (with a specific anti-codon) for a particular amino acid; and 'wobble' base-pairing, i.e. permitting non-standard base-pairing at the 3rd anti-codon position. Lineage: Eukaryota; Metazoa; Chordata; Mammalia; Artiodactyla; Camelidae. RNAcentral also lists the same sequence under 3 other names. The record is from Rfam by way of RNAcentral.
GAGGGUAUAGGUCAGUGGUAGAGAACGUGCUUAGCAUGCACAAGGUCCUGGGUUCAAUCCUCAGUACCUCUA